AUUGACGCUGGCGGCAUGCCUUACACAUGCAAGUCGAACGGCAGCAUGACGUGUAGCAAUACACGUUGAUGGCGAGUGGCGAACGGGUGAGUAAUAUAUCGGAACGUGCCCUGUAGCGGGGGAUAACCUAUCGAAAGAUGGACUAAUACCGCAUACGCUCUACGGAGGAAAGCGGGGGUCGCAAGACCUCGCACUAUAGGAGCGGCCGAUAUCGGAUUAGCUAGUUGGCGGGGUAAAAGCCCACCAAGGCGACGAUCCGUAGCUGGUCUGAGAGGAUGAUCAGCCACACUGGAACUGAGACACGGUCCAGACUCCUACGGGAGGCAGCAGUGGGGAAUUUUGGACAAUGGGCGCAAGCCUGAUCCAGCCAUGCCGCGUGAGUGAAGAAGGCCUUCGGGUUGUAAAGCUCUUUCGGCAGGAACGAAAUGGUUCGUGCUAAUACCACGGACUGAUGACGGUACCUGAAGAAGAAGCACCGGCUAACUACGUGCCAGCAGCCGCGGUAAUACGUAGGGUGCAGGCGUUAAUCGGAAUUACUGGGCGUAAAGCGUGCGCAGGCGGUUUCUUAAGUCAGAUGUGAAAGCCCCGGGCUUAACCUGGGAACUGCGUUUGAAACUGGGAGACUUGAGUGUGGCAGAGGGGGGUGGAAUUCCACGUGUAGCAGUGAAAUGCGUAGAUAUGUGGAGGAACACCGAUGGCGAAGGCAGCCCCCCUGGGGCUAACAC
RNAcentral lists this ribosomal RNA (725 nucleotides) under uncultured bacterium. RNAcentral describes it as "bacterial SSU rRNA". It matches the Rfam family "Bacterial small subunit ribosomal RNA", at positions 28 to 740 of the family's 1533-position model. The record is from RNAcentral.